UACGUAGGGGGCGAGCGUUGUCCGGAGUUACUGGGCGUAAAGGGCGUGCAGGCGGUGCGGCAAGUUUGGAGUGACAGUUCCCGGCUCAACUGGGAAAGGCCUCUGAAAACUGCUGGACUUGAGGGCCAGAGAGGGACAUAGAAUUCCGGGUGGAGUGGUGAAAUGCGUAGAUAUCCGGAGGAAUACCAAAGGCGAAGGCAGUGUCCUGGCUGGCAUCUGACGCUGAGGCGCGAAAGCUAGGGGAGCGAACAGGAUUAGAUACCCUGGUAGUCCUAGCCGUAAACGAUGACCACUAGAUGUGCGGGGUAUCGACCCCCUGCGUGUCGGAGGAAACCUAUUAAGUGGUCCGCCUGGGGAGUACGGUCGCAAGAUUAAA
This 376-nucleotide ribosomal RNA is filed under the name uncultured bacterium. RNAcentral describes it as "bacterial SSU rRNA". It matches the Rfam family "Bacterial small subunit ribosomal RNA", at positions 524 to 898 of the family's 1533-position model. The record is from RNAcentral.